GCCCGCUCAGAAACUUAAAGGAAGUUGACGGGGGCCCGCACAAGACGGUGGAGCAUGUGGUUUAAUUCGAUGAUACGCGAGGAACCUUACCUGGGCUCAAAUGUAUGUUGACGUAUUCUGAAAGGGAUACUUCUUCGGACAAUAUACAAGGUGCUGCAUGGUUGUCGUCAGCUCGUGCCGUGAGGUGUCGGGUUAAGUCCCAUAACGAGCGCAACCCCUACCUUUAGUUGCCAUCAGGUAAUGCUGGGGACUCUAAAGGAACUGCCUACGCAAGUAGUGAGGAAGGCGGGGAUGACGUCAAAUCAGCACGGCCCUUACGUCCAGGGCUACACACGUGCUACAAUGGCCGAUACAGAGGGCAGCUACCUGGUGACAGGAUGCAAAUCUCCAAAGUCGGUCUCAGUUCGGAUCGGAGUCUGCAACCCGACUCCGUGAAGUUGGAUUCGCUAGUAAUCGCGCAUCAGCCAUGGCGCGGUGAAUACGUCCCUGCUCCUU
This 495-nucleotide ribosomal RNA is filed under the name uncultured Sphingobacteriales bacterium. RNAcentral describes it as "bacterial SSU rRNA". It matches the Rfam family "Bacterial small subunit ribosomal RNA", at positions 887 to 1382 of the family's 1533-position model. Lineage: Bacteria; Pseudomonadati; Bacteroidota; Sphingobacteriia; Sphingobacteriales. The record is from RNAcentral.